Molecule: ribosomal RNA, 253 nt
Filed under: uncultured bacterium
Lineage: Bacteria
Description: partial 16S ribosomal RNA
Rfam family: Bacterial small subunit ribosomal RNA
Source: RNAcentral
UACAGAGGGUGCAAGCGUUAAUCGGAAUUACUUGGCGUAAAGCGCGCGUAGGUGGUUUGUUAAGUUGGAUGUGAAAUCCCGAGGCUCAACCUCGGAACUGCGUCUGAAACUACUCGACUAGAGUACUGGAGAGGGUAACGGAAUUCACGGUGUAGCAGUGAAAUGCGUAGAUAUCGUGAGGAACACCAGAGGCGAAGGCGGUUACCUGGACAGUUACUGACGCUCAGGCACGAAAGCAUGGGGAGCAAAAGGG